This 75-nucleotide transfer RNA is filed under the name Marmota monax (woodchuck). RNAcentral's name for it is "tRNA.Ala". The record is from RNAcentral. Lineage: Eukaryota; Metazoa; Chordata; Mammalia; Rodentia; Sciuridae.
GGGGUUGUGGCUCAGCCGUAGAGCACUCGCUCGCCUAGCACAUGAGAGGCCCUGGGUUCGAUCCUCAGCACCACA